Molecule: long non-coding RNA, 218 nt
Filed under: Pelobates cultripes (western spadefoot toad)
Lineage: Eukaryota; Metazoa; Chordata; Amphibia; Anura; Pelobatidae
Source: RNAcentral
GCUCAGCUGCAGGUAAUCAGCUGUUGCAGUGGGAAUAAACUCCUCCCGGCUAGGCAGGAAAAGGAGAGGGAUUGCUGGCUUCCUCCCAGGAAGCAGGUAGGAGAGAAAGGCUGUUCUCUCCAGAUAGUCAAGGUGACUAGGCACUUGGAGUGCAGAAAGGAAAGCAGUCAGGGCAAGACUGGCUUGGAGCACUGGGAGUGCAGAAAGGAAGCAGUCAG